UACGUAGGGGGCGAGCGUUGUCCGGAAUUAUUGGGCGUAAAGCGCGUGUAGGCGGCCAGGUAGGUCCGUUGUGAAAACUCGAGGCUCAACCUCGAGACGCCGAUGGAAACCAUCUAGCUAGAGUCCGGAAGAGGAGAGUGGAAUUCCUGGUGUAGCGGUGAAAUGCGCAGAUAUCAGGAAGAACACCCGUGGCUAAGGCGGCUCUCUAGUACGGUACUGACGCUGAGACGCGAAAGCGUGGGGAGCGAACAGG
Molecule: ribosomal RNA, 253 nt
Filed under: uncultured bacterium
Lineage: Bacteria
Description: partial 16S ribosomal RNA
Rfam family: Bacterial small subunit ribosomal RNA
Source: RNAcentral